Molecule: non-coding RNA, 544 nt
Organism: Dipodomys spectabilis (banner-tailed kangaroo rat)
Lineage: Eukaryota; Metazoa; Chordata; Mammalia; Rodentia; Heteromyidae
Source: the annotation of a RefSeq genome assembly
UGCAGGCAUCAGUCUCAGUCAGCACACAGCAUGAACAUGAGGGCCCUCACUCAGCUCCUGGGUCUCCUGCUGCUCUGGAUUCCAAGUACCAGAUGUGACAUCCAGAUGACCCAGUCUCCAUCCACUCUGUCUGCAUCUCCUGGAGACACAGUCACCAUCAAAUGUCAGGCCAGUCAGUAUAUUAGCAAUGAGUUAAGCUGGUACCAACAGAAACCAGGGAAAGCACAUAAACUCCUGAUCUAUGGUGCAAACAGGUUACAAUCUGGAAUUCCCUCUAGAUUUAGUGGCAGUGGACUUGGGACAGAGUUCACUCUUGCCAUCAGCAGCCUGCAGCCUGAAGACAUUGCCACUUAUUACUGUCAACAGGAUUAUGAUAACCCACCCACAGUGAUACAAGCCAUAACAUAAACCUCCAAGAAGCAGAAGUGUGAGCCUGGGCUGCCCCAGCUACUUUCCUCAUGUUUCCACUUGCAGGAUCUGUCCUAGGAACAUAGGAAUUCUGCCCAUGCUUACCUGGAACAGCAGUUCUCAAGGUCUGAAAUUU